UAAAAUAGUCUUUGUACCUAGCAGUAUCCUGAGUACGGCGGGACACGAGAAAUCCCGUCGGAAUCUGGGAGGACCAUCUCCCAACCCUAAAUACUCCCUAGUGACCGAUAGUGAACCAGUACCGUGAGGGAAAGGUGAAAAGCACCCCGGGAGGGGAGUGAAAUAGAACCUGAAACCGUGUGCCUACAACAAGUUCGAGCCCGUUAAUGGGUGAGAGCGUGCCUUUUGUAGAAUGAACCGGCGAGUUACGUUAUGAUGCGAGGUUAAGUUGAAGAGACGGAGCCGUAGGGAAACCGAGUCUGAAUAGGGCGGAUUAGUAUCAUGACGUAGACCCGAAACCAUGUGACCUACCCAUGAGCAGGUUGAAGGUGCGGUAAGACGCACUGGAGGACCGAACCAGGGCACGUUGAAAAGUGCUUGGAUGACUUGUGGGUAGCGGAGAAAUUCCAAACGAACUUGGAGAUAGCUGGUUCUCUCCGAAAUAGCUUUAGGGCUAGCGUCGACAUUAGAGAUUCUUGGAGGUAGAGCACUGUUUGGGUGAGGGGUCCA
RNAcentral lists this ribosomal RNA (549 nucleotides) under Salmonella enterica subsp. enterica serovar Typhimurium. RNAcentral describes it as "partial 23S ribosomal RNA". It matches the Rfam family "Bacterial large subunit ribosomal RNA", at positions 380 to 929 of the family's 2925-position model. Lineage: Bacteria; Pseudomonadati; Pseudomonadota; Gammaproteobacteria; Enterobacterales; Enterobacteriaceae. The record is from RNAcentral.